GGCCCGAUCCUCCCACCCUUUGUGUACCUACCUCUGUUGCUUUGGCGGGCCGCGGUCCUCCGCGGCCGGCCCCCCUCCCCGGGGGGUGGCCAGCGCCCGCCAGAGGACCAUCAAACUCCAGUCAGUAAACGAUGCAGUCUGAAAAACAUUUAAUAAACUAAAACUUUCAACAACGGAUCUCUUGGUUCUGGCAUCGAUGAAGAACGCAGCGAAAUGCGAUAAGUAAUGUGAAUUGCAGAAUUCAGUGAAUCAUCGAAUCUUUGAACGCACAUUGCGCCCUUUGGUAUUCCGAAGGGCAUGCCUGUUCGAGCGUCAUUACAACCCUCAAGCUCUGCUUGGUAUUGGGCACCGUCCUUUGCGGGCGCGCCUCAAAGACCUCGGCGGUGGCGUCUUGCCUCAAGCGUAGUAGAACAUACAUCUCGCUUCGGAGCGCAGGGCGUCGCCCGCCGGACGAACCUUCUGAACUUUUCUCAAGGUUGACCUCGGAUCAGGUAGGGAUACCCGCUGAACUUAAGCAUAUCAAUAAGCGGAGGAA
Molecule: ribosomal RNA, 535 nt
Filed under: Botryosphaeria dothidea
Lineage: Eukaryota; Fungi; Ascomycota; Dothideomycetes; Botryosphaeriales; Botryosphaeriaceae
Description: eukaryotic LSU rRNA
Rfam family: 5.8S ribosomal RNA (bases 162-315)
Source: RNAcentral